CCUACGGGAGGCAGCAGUGAGGAAUAUUGGUCAAUGGGCGAGAGCCUGAACCAGCCAAGUCGCGUGAAGGAUGACGGCCCUACGGGUUGUAAACUUCUUUUGUCAGGGAGCAAUUGGGUCCACGCGUGGGCUUAGCGUGAGUACCUGAAGAAACAGCAUCGGCUAACUCCGUGCCAGCAGCCGCGGUAAUACGGACGAUGCGAGCGUUAUCCGGAUUUAUGGGGUUUAAAGGGUGCCUAGGCGGAAUAUCAAGUCCACGGGAAAAAUUCGGGGCUAAAACCCGUCGUGACGGUGAAACUGAUGGUCUUGAGUGGGCGAGAAGUAUGCGGAAUGCGUGGUGUAGGGGUGAAAUGCAUAGAUAUCACGAAGAACUCCGAUUGCGAAGGCAGCAUACCGGCGCCCAACUGACGCUGAAGCACGAAAGCGUAGGUAUCGAACAGGAUUAGAUACCCGUGUAGUC
Molecule: ribosomal RNA, 460 nt
Filed under: uncultured bacterium
Lineage: Bacteria
Description: partial 16S ribosomal RNA
Rfam family: Bacterial small subunit ribosomal RNA
Source: RNAcentral